GACGAACGCUGGCGGCGUGCUUAACACAUGCAAGUCGAACGGUGAAGCGAGUGCUUGCACUCGUGGAUCAGUGGCGAACGGGUGAGUAACACGUGAGUAACCUGCCCAUCACUCUGGGAUAAGCACUGGAAACGGUGUCUAAUACUGGAUACGACCAACCCUUGCAUGGGGUGUUGGUGGAAAGAUUUAUCGGUGAUGGAUGGACUCGCGGCCUAUCAGCUUGUUGGCGGGGUAAUGGCCCACCAAGGCGACGACGGGUAGCCGGCCUGAGAGGGUGACCGGCCACACUGGGACUGAGACACGGCCCAGACUCCUACGGGAGGCAGCAGUGGGGAAUAUUGCACAAUGGGCGAAAGCCUGAUGCAGCGACGCCGCGUGAGGGAUGACGGCCUUGGGGUUGUAAACCUCUUUCAGCAGGGAAGAAGCGAAAGUGACGGUACCUGCAGAAGAAGCACCGGCUAACUACGUG
RNAcentral lists this ribosomal RNA (469 nucleotides) under uncultured bacterium. Its description in RNAcentral is "partial 16S ribosomal RNA". It matches the Rfam family "Bacterial small subunit ribosomal RNA", at positions 28 to 507 of the family's 1533-position model. The record is from RNAcentral.